UUUGGAUAGCUUACACAUGUAAAGAAAAGGAAGUUUAGAGAACAUGUAUGGGAACUGGGAAAGGGAAGUCCUAAGUUGAUUAGCCUACAAGAUCAUACCCAUGCAAUGCCCGGUAAUCACUCCUCAAUGAGGGGCUACAGGUGACAUUAGCGCGCAUGUCAUCAUAUCCUUUACUACCAGGUCAUAGGCUAAAGCGUUCUAGCAACCUUAAGAUAUAUUCUACAUGCGCACUACCCAUCCCUACCUUGCGGCCCUGGAGAUAUUUAGGACCUUUAAUUUAAGUAGUUCUAGACUAUCCUAAGGUACUUAAAGGAGAAAAAUCUAGGCGACAAUCAAAACAAUUAGGACUGGACCAAAGAUAGAACAAUAAAAGGCUCAACUUUUAUCUACACAAACAGAACAAGUAAGUGCAUGUCUCAAACAAUAUUUUCAAAUAUUUAAGAGAAGCCCUGGAAUAGGAUAUCUAGGUGAGCAGAAAAUAUGCAGUAUUGAGUCAAGACCAAAGUGUGAAAACUUAAUUAGUUUGCUUACUGAUUUUUAAACAUGUUGGAUAUGGGCAGUCACAAAUAACAAAGCAUAGUUUUACAGUUCGCAUGAUUUUAGUCGCCAUACAGGCUUGCCUAGGCGUAUAAUAGUGAUUUCCUAUAAGCAUGGUAUCUAAUCAUUAAUCAGGAGUGCAGUAAACCAGUAAACAAUUUUAAGCAGGCAGUUUGGAUCCUAUAGGCAUGAUGUCCAAGUGUAAUGACUGAUUUAGACUGGUAAAAAUUGGUUUUCAAAGACCCUAUUGGCAUAGUAUAUAAAUGCAGUAAUUAGCUCAAGAACCUCAUUGACAUGCAGAAAACUGUUUUAAACCUUGUCAACAUGUAAAGGCUGUUUUCAAACUUCCAGGCGUAAUGUCUAAAUAUACAAUAUUGAUUUUUAUACACUAUAGGCAUGCUUUCUAGUGACAUUUAACAAGACACUGCAUGGUGUUCCAGUUUUAGCACGUAAUGCACUCAGUAAUACCCUAUUGACAUGAUUUUUAUCUCUAACAAAUGAAAUUGUUAUUAGUUUUGUUAGACAUGCAUACUUACUGAGCAAGUGUGACAAAAAAUUAAAUCUACAUGCAUGAUUUCUAAAGAGAUAUAUUUAAAUAUAUGUUGUAAUGAAAACUGAACCUUAGUUAUUUAGUCUCUA
Molecule: long non-coding RNA, 1176 nt
Filed under: Nicotiana benthamiana
Lineage: Eukaryota; Viridiplantae; Streptophyta; Magnoliopsida; Solanales; Solanaceae
Description: long non-coding RNA (NBEN_LNC036352)
Source: RNAcentral